Molecule: small RNA, 49 nt
Filed under: Arabidopsis thaliana (thale cress)
Lineage: Eukaryota; Viridiplantae; Streptophyta; Magnoliopsida; Brassicales; Brassicaceae
Description: ATSL179900
Source: RNAcentral
GAUUUCAUCGGACUCGUCAUCUGUGUAUUCAUCACUGAGAAACCCUUUU